This 288-nucleotide unclassified non-coding RNA is filed under the name Hevea brasiliensis (rubber tree). Lineage: Eukaryota; Viridiplantae; Streptophyta; Magnoliopsida; Malpighiales; Euphorbiaceae. The record is from RNAcentral.
AGUCUAGCAUUCCAGGAAAUUUUCGUUUUCGGCCAUUUGACAGAAAAGAGAUGAUGCCCUUUUUCACCUUCUGUCAUAUACUCUUCUGAGAAGCCAUGUGGGAAGGAAGAAGGUUUAUAGUCCAUUCGAAUCAAUUCAACAAAUGAUCAAAAGAAGGCCAUGUGUUUCAACACUGGCGUAGUGGAGGAGAAUAGCAGGAAAAUUGCUGUCCUUCUAAAGUAGGUAAUUAAAGAAAAUUCUCUGAAAUUUGUGACGGAUCUUAUAGCUGAUUAAUUCUUUGAAUGUUAG